GAUGAACGCUAGCGGCAGGCCUAAUACAUGCAAGUCGGACGGGAUAGAGGAGCUUGCUUCUCUUGAGAGUGGCGCACGGGUGCGUAACACGUAUGUAACCUACCUUAGUCAGGGGAUAGCCUCUCGAAAGAGAGAUUAAGACCGCAUAACAUCAUUUUGUGGCAUCGCAGGAUGAUCAAAUAUUUAUAGGACUAAGAUGGGCAUGCGCAACAUUAGCUAGUUGGUGUGGUAACGGCCCACCAAGACGAUGAUCAGUAGGGGAACUGAGAGUUGAUCCCCUAAACAUCGUAGCCUUGGUAU
Molecule: ribosomal RNA, 300 nt
Filed under: uncultured bacterium
Lineage: Bacteria
Description: bacterial SSU rRNA
Rfam family: Bacterial small subunit ribosomal RNA
Source: RNAcentral